Molecule: ribosomal RNA, 275 nt
Filed under: uncultured bacterium
Lineage: Bacteria
Description: partial 16S ribosomal RNA
Rfam family: Bacterial small subunit ribosomal RNA
Source: RNAcentral
AUACGGAGGAUGCGAGCGUUAUCCGGAUUUAUUAGGUUUAAAGGGUGUGUAGGCGGUAUUUUAAGUCAGUGGUGGAAUCUCGGAGCUUAACUUCGAAACUGCCAUUGAUACUGGAAUACUUGAGUAUAGUUGAGGUAGGCGGAAUAUGUAAUGUAGCGGUGAAAUGCAUAGAUAUUACAUAGAACACCGAUUGCGAAGGCAGCUUACUAAACUAUUACUGACGCUGAUGCACGAAAGCGUGGGGAGCUAACAGGAUUAGAAACCCCUAGUAGUCC